GAUGAAUAACGCAGUGAAAUGCGAUAAGUAGUGUGAAUUGCAGAAUUCAGUGAAUCAUCGAAUCUUUGAACGCACAUUGCGCCCCCUGGUAUUCCGGGGGGCAUGCCUGUCCGAGCGUCAUUGCCGCCCUCAAGCACGGCUUGUGUGUUGGGCCCCCGCCCCCCGGCUUCGGGGGGCGGGCCCGAAAGGCAGCGGCGGCACCGCGUCCGGUCCUCGAGCGUAUGGGGCUUCGUCACCCGCUCUGUAGGCCCGGCCGGCGCCCGCCGGCGACCCCAAUCAAUCUUUCCAGGUUGACCUCGGAUCAGGUAGGGAUACCCGCUGAACUUAAGCAUAUCAAUAAGCGGAGGA
Molecule: unclassified non-coding RNA, 348 nt
Filed under: soil metagenome
Description: partial contains 5.8S ribosomal RNA, internal transcribed spacer 2, and large subunit ribosomal RNA
Rfam family: 5.8S ribosomal RNA (bases 1-120)
Source: RNAcentral